This 439-nucleotide ribosomal RNA is filed under the name uncultured bacterium. Its description in RNAcentral is "partial 16S ribosomal RNA". It matches the Rfam family "Bacterial small subunit ribosomal RNA", at positions 339 to 795 of the family's 1533-position model. The record is from RNAcentral.
CUACGGGAUGCAGCAGUGAGGAAUAUUGCGCAAUGGGGGAAACCCUGAUGCAGCAACGCCGCGUGGAGGAUGACGCAUUUCGGUGUGUAAACUCCUUUUAUGAGUCAAGAAAAUGACGGUAGCUCAUGAAUAAGCACCGGCUAACUCCGUGCCAGCAGCCGCGGUAAUACGGAGGGUGCAAGCGUUACUCGGAAUCACUGGGCGUAAAGGACGCGUAGGCGGGCUUGUAAGUCAGGUGUGAAAUCCUACAGCGUAACUGUAGAACUGCACUUGAAACUACGAGCCUAGAGUAUGGGAGGGGCAGAUGGAAUUAGUGGUGUAGGGGUAAAAUCCGUAGAUAUCACUAGGAAUACCGAAAGCGAAGGCGAUCUGCUGGAACAUUACUGACGCUAAGGCGUGAAAGCGUGGGGAGCAAACGGGAUUAGAUACCCGCGUAGUC